CCUACGGGAGGCUGCAGUGGGGGAUAUUGCACAAUGGGGGAAACCCUGAUGCAGCGACGCCGCGUGUGGGAAGACGGUCCUCUGGAUUGUAAACCACUGUCCCCAGGGACGAAGAUGACGGUACCUGGGGAGGAAGCUCCGGCUAACUACGUGCCAGCAGCCGCGGUAAUACGUAGGGAGCGAGCGUUGUCCGGAUUUACUGGGUGUAAAGGGAGCGUAGACGGCUGUGCAAGCCAGAUGUGAAAGCCCGGGGCUCAACCCCGGGACUGCAUUUGGAACUGUGUGGCUGGAGUGUCGGAGAGGCAGGCGGAAUUCCUAGUGUAGCGGUGAAAUGCGUAGAUAUUAGGAGGAACACCAGUGGCGAAGGCGGCCUGCUGGACGAUGACUGACGUUGAGGCUCGAAAGCGUGGGGAGCAAACAGGAUUAGAUACCCCUGUAGUC
Molecule: ribosomal RNA, 441 nt
Filed under: uncultured bacterium
Lineage: Bacteria
Description: partial 16S ribosomal RNA
Rfam family: Bacterial small subunit ribosomal RNA
Source: RNAcentral